GGCCCAGACUCCUACGGGAGGCAGCAGUAGGGAAUCUUCGGCAAUGGGGGCAACCCUGACCGAGCAACGCCGCGUGAGUGAAGAAGGUUUUCGGAUCGUAAAACUCUGUUGUUAGAGAAGAACGUUAAGUAGAGUGGAAAAUUACUUAAGUGACGGUAUCUAACCAGAAAGGGACGGCUAACUACGUGCCAGCAGCCGCGGUAAUACGUAGGUCCCAAGCGUUGUCCGGAUUUAUUGGGCGUAAAGCGAGCGCAGGUGGUUUCUUAAGUCUGAUGUAAAAGGCAGUGGCUCAACCAUUGUGUGCAUUGGAAACUGGGAGACUUGAGUGCAGGAGAGGAGAGUGGAAUUCCAUGUGUAGCGGUGAAAUGCGUAGAUAUAUGGAGGAACACCGGAGGCGAAAGCGGCUCUCUGGCCUGUAACUGACACUGAGGCUCGAAAGCGUGGGGAGCAAACAGGAUUAGAUACCCUGGUAGUCCACGCCGUAAACGAUGAGUGCUAGCUGUAGGGAGCUAUAAGUUCUCUGUAGCGCAGCUAACGCAUUAAGCACUCCGCCUGGGGAGUACGACCGCAAGGUUGAAACUCAAAGGAAUUGACGGGGGCCCGCACAAGCGGUGGAGCAUGUGGUUUAAUUCGAAGCAACGCGAAGAACCUUACCAGGUCUUGACAUACUCGUGCUAUCCUUAGAGAUAAGGAGUUCCUUCGGGACACGGGAUACAGGUGGUGCAUGGUUGUCGUCAGCUCGUGUCGUGAGAUGUUGGGUUAAGUCCCGCAACGAGCGCAACCCUUAUUACUAGUUGCCAUCAUUAAGUUGGGCACUCUAGUGAGACUGCCGGUGAUAAACCGGAGGAAGGUGGGGAUGACGUCAAAUCAUCAUGCCCCUUAUGACCUGGGCUACACACGUGCUACAAUGGAUGGUACAACGAGUCGCCAACCCGCGAGGGUGCGCUAAUCUCUUAAAACCAUUCUCAGUUCGGAUUGCAGGCUGCAACUCGCCUGCAUGAAGUCGGAAUCGCUAGUAAUCGCGGAUCAGCACGCCGCGGUGAAUACGUUCCCGGGCCUUGUACACACCGCCCGUCACACCACGGAAGUUGGGAGUACCCAAAGUAGGUUGCCUAACCGCAAGGAGGGCGCUUCCUAA
RNAcentral lists this ribosomal RNA (1138 nucleotides) under Lactococcus garvieae. RNAcentral's name for it is "bacterial SSU rRNA". It matches the Rfam family "Bacterial small subunit ribosomal RNA", at positions 328 to 1460 of the family's 1533-position model. The record is from RNAcentral. Lineage: Bacteria; Bacillati; Bacillota; Bacilli; Lactobacillales; Streptococcaceae.